Non-coding RNA from Coffea arabica (coffee), 273 nucleotides. The record is from RefSeq and is a predicted model, not a curated record. NCBI's taxonomy places the organism in Eukaryota, Viridiplantae, Streptophyta, Magnoliopsida, Gentianales, Rubiaceae.
CAGAAGAGGUUACAUAGGACUUUAUCACUUGUUGCUUUUCCAUUAUUACAGGAUCCAAGUAACUAACUCUACAUCAAUUCUUUGGAAGUUGAUGCUAAGGCAUGUGUAGACUUCGUGGCAAAAGUAGUUGGAGUAACUUCGGGACCAAAAGGAAGAAUUUUGGUGUUGCACAUUAAAUUGCAUCCCAAGAUUGUUAAAGAUACUGAAAGUGUUUUAAACAGAACAGAUUGAUUGGAGGAUGCUUUGGAGUAUGUAGGAGUUAAAUUAGUGAGG